Molecule: ribosomal RNA, 253 nt
Filed under: uncultured bacterium
Lineage: Bacteria
Description: partial 16S ribosomal RNA
Rfam family: Bacterial small subunit ribosomal RNA
Source: RNAcentral
UACGGAGGGGGCAAGCGUUGUUCGGAAUUACUGGGCGUAAAGGGCGCGCAGGCGGCCUGUUAAGUCGAACGUGAAAUCCCUGGGCUCAACCCAGGAACUGCGUCCGAGACUGGCAGGCUUGAAUCCGGGAGAGGGAUGUGGAAUUCCAGGUGUAGCGGUGAAAUGCGUAGAUAUUCGCAAGAACACCGGUGGCGAAGGCGGCUCACUGGCCCGAUACUGACGCUGAGGCACGAAAGCGUGGGGAGCAAACAGG